This 429-nucleotide ribosomal RNA is filed under the name bacterium. Its description in RNAcentral is "partial 16S ribosomal RNA". It matches the Rfam family "Bacterial small subunit ribosomal RNA", at positions 355 to 776 of the family's 1533-position model. The record is from RNAcentral.
UGGGGAAUAUUGGACAAUGGGCGAAGCCUGAUCCAGCCAUGCCGCGUGUGUGAAGAAGGCCUUUUGGUUGUAAAGCACUUUAAGCGAGGAGGAGGCUACUUAGAUUAAUACUCUAGGAUAGUGGACGUUACUCGCAGAAUAAGCACCGGCUAACUCUGUGCCAGCAGCCGCGGUAAUACAGAGGGUGCGAGCGUUAAUCGGAUUUACUGGGCGUAAAGCGUGCGUAGGCGGCUUUUUAAGUCGGAUGUGAAAUCCCUGAGCUUAACUUAGGAAUUGCAUUCGAUACUGGGAAGCUAGAGUAUGGGAGAGGAUGGUAGAAUUCCAGGUGUAGCGGUGAAAUGCGUAGAGAUCUGGAGGAAUACCGAUGGCGAAGGCAGCCAUCUGGCCUAAUACUGACGCUGAGGUACGAAAGCAUGGGGAGCAAACAGG